UACGUAGGUGACAAGCGUUGUCCGGAUUUACUGGGCGUAAAGAGCGCGCAGGCGGUCGUUCAAGUCGAGUGUGAAAGCCCCCGGCUCAACUGGGGAGGGUCAUUCGAUACUGAUCGACUCGAAGGCAGGAGAGGGUAGUUGAAUUCCCGGUGUAGUGGUGAAAUGCGCAGAUAUCAGGAGGAACACCGGUGGCGAAGGCGGGUCUCUGGGCCGUAACUGACGCUGAGGAGCGAAAGCGUGGGGAGCGAACAGG
This 253-nucleotide ribosomal RNA is filed under the name uncultured bacterium. Its description in RNAcentral is "partial 16S ribosomal RNA". It matches the Rfam family "Bacterial small subunit ribosomal RNA", at positions 524 to 776 of the family's 1533-position model. The record is from RNAcentral.